UACGGAGGGGGCAAGCGUUGUUCGGAUUUACUGGGCGUAAAGGGUCCGUAGGUGGUUGUGUAAGUCUGGUGUGAAAUCUUCGCCGCUUAACGGGAAGCAGCCACUGGAAACUGCGCAACUUGAGUCUGGUAGAGGUAAGCGGAAUUCCUGGUGUAGCGGUGGAAUGUGUAGAUAUCAGGAAGAACAUCUGUGGCGAAGGCGGCUUACUGGGCCAGUACUGACACUGAGGGACGAAAGCGUGGGGAGCAAACAGG
This 254-nucleotide ribosomal RNA is filed under the name uncultured bacterium. Its description in RNAcentral is "partial 16S ribosomal RNA". It matches the Rfam family "Bacterial small subunit ribosomal RNA", at positions 524 to 776 of the family's 1533-position model. The record is from RNAcentral.